UACGUAGGGGGCAAGCGUUGUCCGGAUUUAUUGGGCGUAAAGAGCGUGUAGGCGGUUUGGUAGGUCCGCUGUGAAAACUCGAGGCUCAACCUCGAGACGUCGGUUGAAACCAUCUGGCUAGAGUCCGGAAGAGGAGUGUGGAAUUCCCGGUGUAGCGGUGAAAUGCGCAGAUAUCGGGAAGAACACCCGUGGCGAAGGCGGCACUCUGGGACGGUACUGACGCUGAGACGCGAAAGCGUGGGGAGCGAACAGG
Molecule: ribosomal RNA, 253 nt
Filed under: uncultured bacterium
Lineage: Bacteria
Description: partial 16S ribosomal RNA
Rfam family: Bacterial small subunit ribosomal RNA
Source: RNAcentral